UGGGGUGACCGCGUACCUUUUGUAUAAUGGGUCAGCGACUUAAUGUUAGUAGCAAGGUUAACCGCAUAGGGGAGCCGUAGGGAAACCGAGUCUUAACUGGGCGAGUAGUUGCUAGCAUUAGACCCGAAACCGAGUGAUCUAGCCAUGGGCAGGUUGAAGGUUGAGUAACAUCAACUGGAGGACCGAACUCACUAACGUUGAAAAGUUAGGAGAUGACCUGUGGCUAGGGGUGAAAGGCCAAUCAAACUCGGAGAUAGCUGGUUCUCCCCGAAAGCUAUUUAGGUAGCGCCUCGGACGAAUACUACUGGGGGUAGAGCACUGUUAAGGCUAGGGGGUCAUCCCGACUUACCAACCCUUUGCAAACUCCGAAUACCAGUAAGUACUAUCCGGGAGACACACGGCGGGUGCUAACGUCCGUCGUGGAGAGGGAAACAACCCAGACCGCCAGCUAAGGUCCCCAAGUUAUCGCUAAGUGGGAAACGAUGUGGGAAGGCUCAGACAGCCAGGAUGUUGGCUUAGAAGCAGCCAUCAUUUAAAGAAAGCGUAAUAGCUCACUGGUCGAGUCGGCCUGCGCGGAAGAUGUAACGGGGCUAAGCGAUACACCGAAGCUGCGGCAAUGUCCUUAUGGAUAUUGGGUAGGGGAGCGUUGUGUAAGCUGUUGAAGGUGUGCUGAGAAGCAUGCUGGAGGUAUCACAAGUGCGAAUGCUGACAUGAGUAACGAUAAAGGGGGUGAAAAACCUCCUCGCCGGAAGACCAAGGGUUCCUGUCCAACGUUAAUCGGGGCAGGGUAAGUCGGCCCCUAAGGCGAGGCCGAAAGGCGUAGUCGAUGGGAAACGGGUUAAUAUUCCCGUACUGCUGCUUACUGCGAUGGGGGGACGGAGAAGGCUAGGUGGGCCUGGCGAUGGUAGUCCAGGUUCAAGUGCGUAGGCUGAUUUCUUAGGCAAAUCCGGGAAAUCAAGGCCGAGACACGAUGUCGAGCCACCAAGGUGGUGAAGUCAUUGAUGCCAUGCUUCCGGGAAAAGCCUCUAAGCUUCAGGUAAGUAGCAACCGUACUCCAAACCGACACAGGUGGUCGGGUAGAGAAUACCAAGGCGCUUGAGAGAACUCGGGUGAAGGAACUAGGCAAAAUGGUACCGUAACUUCGGGAGAAGGUACGCUGCCCGCGGUGAAGUCCCUUGCGGAUGGAGCUAUGGGCAGUCGCAGAUACCAGGUGGCUGCAACUGUUUAUUAAAAACACAGCACUGUGCAAAAUCGAAAGAUGACGUAUACGGUGUGACGCCUGCCCGGUGCCGGAAGGUUAAUUGAUGUGGUUAUCGCAAGAGAAGCCAUUGAUUGAAGCCCCGGUAAACGGCGGCCGUAACUAUAACGGUCCUAAGGUAGCGAAAUUCCUUGUCGGGUAAGUUCCGACCUGCACGAAUGGCGUAAUGAUGGCCACGCUGUCUCCACCCGAGACUCAGUGAAAUUGAAAUCGCAGUGAAGAUGCUGUGUACCCGCGGCUAGACGGAAAGACCCCGUGAACCUUUACUACAGCUUGGCACUGAACAUUGAGCCUACAUGUGUAGGAUAGGUGGGAGGCUUUGAAGCGGCGACGCCAGUUGCUGUGGAGCCAUCCUUGAAAUACCACCCUUGUAUGUUUGAUGUUCUAACUUAGCCCCCUUAUCGGGGGUGAGGACAGUGCCUGGUGGGUAGUUUGACUGGGGCGGUCUCCUCCCAAAGCGUAACGGAGGAGCACGAAGGUGGGCUAAUCACGGUCGGACAUCGUGAGGUUAGUGCAAUGGCAUAAGCCCGCUUAACUGCGAGAGUGACGGCUCGAGCAGGUACGAAAGUAGGUCAUAGUGAUCCGG
This 1844-nucleotide ribosomal RNA is filed under the name Salinivibrio sp. VYel7. RNAcentral's name for it is "partial 23S ribosomal RNA". It matches the Rfam family "Bacterial large subunit ribosomal RNA", at positions 589 to 2423 of the family's 2925-position model. The record is from RNAcentral. Lineage: Bacteria; Pseudomonadati; Pseudomonadota; Gammaproteobacteria; Vibrionales; Vibrionaceae. RNAcentral also lists the same sequence under 1 other name.